UCCGAUAUGGUGUAGAGGUAACAUCGCUGUCUCUCACACAGCAGCCCCGGGUUCGAUUCCCGGUGUCGGAA
Molecule: transfer RNA, 71 nt
Filed under: Coccidioides posadasii C735 delta SOWgp
Lineage: Eukaryota; Fungi; Ascomycota; Eurotiomycetes; Onygenales; Onygenaceae
Also listed under: 13 other names
Description: tRNA-Glu (CTC) (tRNA-Glu-CTC-1 1 to 4)
Rfam family: tRNA
About the family: Transfer RNA (tRNA) molecules are approximately 80 nucleotides in length. Their secondary structure includes four short double-helical elements and three loops (D, anti-codon, and T loops). Further hydrogen bonds mediate the characteristic L-shaped molecular structure. tRNAs have two regions of fundamental functional importance: the anti-codon, which is responsible for specific mRNA codon recognition, and the 3' end, to which the tRNAs corresponding amino acid is attached (by aminoacyl-tRNA synthetases). tRNAs cope with the degeneracy of the genetic code in two manners: having more than one tRNA (with a specific anti-codon) for a particular amino acid; and 'wobble' base-pairing, i.e. permitting non-standard base-pairing at the 3rd anti-codon position.
Source: RNAcentral